UGCGCAGGCGGUCUUGCAAGACAGAUGUGAAAUCCCCGGGCUCAACCUGGGAACUGCAUUUGUGACUGCAAGGCUAGAGUACGGCAGAGGGGGAUGGAAUUCCGCGUGUAGCAGUGAAAUGCGUAGAUAUGCGGAGGAACACCGAUGGCGAAGGCAAUCCCCUGGGCCUGUACUGACGCUCAUGCACGAAAGCGUGGGGAGCAAACAGGAUUAGAUACCCUGGUAGUCCACGCCCUAAACGAUGUCAACUGGUUGUUGGGAAGGUUCCUUCUCAGUAACGUAGCUAACGCGUGAAGUUGACCGCCUGGGGAGUACGGCCGCAAGGUUGAA
RNAcentral lists this ribosomal RNA (330 nucleotides) under uncultured bacterium. RNAcentral describes it as "bacterial SSU rRNA". It matches the Rfam family "Bacterial small subunit ribosomal RNA", at positions 568 to 898 of the family's 1533-position model. The record is from RNAcentral.